This 116-nucleotide small RNA is filed under the name Mesorhizobium alhagi CCNWXJ12-2. Its description in RNAcentral is "Alphaproteobacterial ar15". It matches the Rfam family "Alphaproteobacterial ar15". The record is from Rfam by way of RNAcentral. Lineage: Bacteria; Pseudomonadati; Pseudomonadota; Alphaproteobacteria; Hyphomicrobiales; Phyllobacteriaceae.
AUCUUUCGGGCGCGUUCCUCCUCCCAUUAGCGCCUGGGAGUGUUCCCCUCUGGAGGUUUAGCCUUAAUCGGCACUUCCAACAAACUCAGCCGGGUCUUCUUAGAUCCGGCUUUUUU